Molecule: ribosomal RNA, 357 nt
Filed under: uncultured bacterium
Lineage: Bacteria
Description: partial 16S ribosomal RNA
Rfam family: Bacterial small subunit ribosomal RNA
Source: RNAcentral
CCUACGCGAGGCAGCAGUGAGGAAUAUUGGUCAAUGGGCGAGAGCCUGAACCAGCCACGUCGCGUGAGGGAGUACUGCCCUAUGGGUUGUAAACCUCUUUUGUCGGGGAGCAAAAGCCGGACGUGUCCGGCUGUGAGAGUACCCGGAGAAAAAGCAUCGGCUAACUCCGUGCCAGCAGCCGCGGUAAUACGGAGGAUGCGAGCGUUAUCCGGAUUUAUUGGGUUUAAAGGGUGCGCAGGCGGAGUUUUAAGUCAGCGGUCAAAUCGUGGGGCUCAACCAUAGAAUUGCCGUUGAAACUGGGAAGCUUGAGUAUGUUUGAGGCAGGCGGAAUGCGUGGUGUAGCGGUGAAAUGCUUAG